This 330-nucleotide ribosomal RNA is filed under the name uncultured bacterium. Its description in RNAcentral is "bacterial SSU rRNA". It matches the Rfam family "Bacterial small subunit ribosomal RNA", at positions 568 to 898 of the family's 1533-position model. The record is from RNAcentral.
UGUGUAGGCGGUUGCUUAAGUUUGGUGUGAAAUCUCCCGGCUCAACUGGGAGGGUGCGCCGAAUACUGAGUGACUCGAGUGCGGGAGAGGAGAGUGGAAUUCCUGGUGUAGCGGUGAAAUGCGUAGAUAUCAGGAGGAACACCGGUGGUGUAGGCGGCUCUCUGGACCGUAACUGACGCUGAGACACGAAAGCGUGGGUAGCAAACAGGAUUAGAUACCCUGGUAGUCCACGCCCUAAACGAUGCAUAUUUGGUGUGGGCAGUUCAGUCUGUCCGUGCCGGAGCUAACGCGUUAAAUAUGCCGCCUGGGGAGUACAGUCGCAAGGCUGAA